AACGAACGCUGGCGGCAGGCUUAACACAUGCAAGUCGAACGCCCCGCAAGGGGAGUGGCAGACGGGUGAGUAACGCGUGGGAACAUACCCUUUUCUACGGAAUAGCCCUGGGAAACUGGAAUUAAUACCGUAUACGCCCUACGGGGGAAAGAUUUAUCGGGGAAGGAUUGGCCAGCGUUGGAUUAGCUAGUUGGUGGGGUAAAGGCCUACCAAGGCGACGAUCCAUAGCUGGUCUGAGAGGAUGAUCAGCCACAUUGUGACUGAGACACGGCCCAAACGACUACUGGAGGCAGCAGUGGGGAAUAUUGGACAAUGAGCGCAAGCCUGAUCCAGCCAUGCCGCGUGAGUGAUGAAGGCCUUAGGGUUGUAAAGCUCUUUCACCGAUGAAGAUAAUGACGGUAGUCGGAGAAGAAGCCCCGGCUAACUUCGUGCCAGCCGCCGCGGUAA
RNAcentral lists this ribosomal RNA (447 nucleotides) under uncultured bacterium. Its description in RNAcentral is "partial 16S ribosomal RNA". It matches the Rfam family "Bacterial small subunit ribosomal RNA", at positions 29 to 523 of the family's 1533-position model. The record is from RNAcentral.